GGGUUGUGAGGUUAAGCGACUAAGCGUACACGGUGGAUGCCCUGGCAGUCAGAGGCGAUGAAGGACGUGCUAAUCUGCGAUAAGCGCCGGUAAGGUGAUAUGAACCGUUAUAACCGGCGAUUUCCGAAUGGGGAAACCCAGUGUGAUUCGUCACACUAUCAUUAACUGAAUCCAUAGGUUAAUGAGGCGAACCGGGGGAACUGAAACAUCUAAGUACCCCGAGGAAAAGAAAUCAACCGAGAUUCCCCCAGUAGCGGCGAGCGAACGGGGAGGAGCCCAGAGCCUGAAUCAGCAUGUGUGUUAGUGGAAGCGUCUGGAAAGGCGCGCGAUACAGGGUGACAGCCCCGUACACAAAAGCGCAUGUGUUGUGAGCUCGAUGAGUAGGGCGGGACACGUGGUAUCCUGUCUGAAUAUGGGGGGACCAUCCUCCAAGGCUAAAUACUCCUGACUGACCGAUAGUGAACCAGUACCGUGAGGGAAAGGCGAAAAGAACCCCGGCGAGGGGAGUGAAAAAGAACCUGAAACCGUGUACGUACAAGCAGUGGGAGCACAGGUUUACCUGUGUGACUGCGUACCUUUUGUAUAAUGGGUCAGCGACUUAUAUUCUGUAGCAAGGUUAACCGUAUAGGGGAGCCGGAGGGAAACCGAGUCUUAAUUGGGCGUUAAGUUGCAGGGUAUAGACCCGAAACCCGGUGAUCUAGCCAUGGGCAGGUUGAAGGUUGGGUAACACUAACUGGAGGACCGAACCGACUAAUGUUGAAAAAUUAGCGGAUGACCUGUGGCUGGGGGUGAAAGGCCAAUCAAACCGGGAGAUAGCUGGUUCUCCCCGAAAGCUAUUUAGGUAGCGCCUCGUGAAUUCAUCUCCGGGGGUAGAGCACUGUUUCGGCUAGGGGGCCAUCCCGGCUUACCAACCCGAUGCAAACUGCGAAUACCGGAGAAUGUUAUCACGGGAGACACACGGCGGGUGCUAACGUCCGUCGUGAAGAGGGAAACAACCCAGACCGCCAGCUAAGGUCCCAAAGUCAUGGUUAAGUGGGAAACGAUGUGGGAAGGCCCAGACAGCCAGGAUGUUGGCUUAGAAGCAGCCAUCAUUUAAAGAAAGCGUAAUAGCUCACUGGUCGAGUCGGCCUGCGCGGAAGAUGUAACGGGGCUAAACCAU
Molecule: ribosomal RNA, 1159 nt
Filed under: Salmonella enterica subsp. enterica serovar Paratyphi B var. L(+) tartrate +
Lineage: Bacteria; Pseudomonadati; Pseudomonadota; Gammaproteobacteria; Enterobacterales; Enterobacteriaceae
Description: partial 23S ribosomal RNA
Rfam family: Bacterial large subunit ribosomal RNA
Source: RNAcentral